GUGUUGUAUGGACAGGGAAGAAGUCAGCACUCCUCUGGAAGAGGCUAGAAGAGGCCCACAGGCUUAACAUGCUUAUGGCAAAAACACUGCCCACUUCAUAGCUUUUUUUUUUUUUUUUUU
This is a small nuclear RNA of Mastomys coucha (southern multimammate mouse), 120 nucleotides long. NCBI's taxonomy places the organism in Eukaryota, Metazoa, Chordata, Mammalia, Rodentia, Muridae. The record is from RefSeq and is a predicted model, not a curated record.